AUUGAACGCUGGCGGCAGGCCUAACACAUGCAAGUCGGACGGUAGCACAGAGGAGCUUGCUCCUUGGGUGACGAGUGGCGGACGGGUGAGUAAUGUCUGGGGAUCUGCCCGAUAGAGGGGGAUAACCACUGGAAACGGUGGCUAAUACCGCAUAACGUCGCAAGACCAAAGAGGGGGACCUUCGGGCCUCUCACUAUCGGAUGAACCCAGAUGGGAUUAGCUAGUAGGCGGGGGAAUGGCCCACCUAGGCGACGAUCCCUAGCUGGUCUGAGAGGAUGACCACCCACACGGGAACUGGGACACGGUCCAGACUCCUACGGGAGGCAGCAGUGGGGAAUAUUGCACAAUGGGCGCAAGCCUGAUGCAGCCAUGCCGCGUGUAUGAAGAAGGCCUUCGGGUUGUAAAGUACUUUCAGCGGGGAGGAAGGCGGUGAGGUUAAUAACCUUGCCGAUUGACGUUACCCGCAGAAGAAGCACCGGCUAACUCCGUGCCAGCCGCCGCGGUAA
This 506-nucleotide ribosomal RNA is filed under the name uncultured bacterium. RNAcentral's name for it is "partial 16S ribosomal RNA". It matches the Rfam family "Bacterial small subunit ribosomal RNA", at positions 29 to 523 of the family's 1533-position model. The record is from RNAcentral.